GAAUUGCAAGUCCAAUUUGACCUCCUCCAGACCAGAGAAGAGAGGAGGUCAAUCAAAAAAGAAAUAUUACUCAAUCAAAGAUCCAACUGAUCCCCACGCCUCUAUUGCAAAUACGCAGUCACGAAUAAUCCCGCUAAAGUAAUAGGAAUUAGGCCUAAGACGAUUCCAAAUAGAAAAACUUCAAUCAUUUCGAUUUGUUCGAGGGGAUAAAAAAAGAGGUACGAUCUAUCUCUAAAUAAUAGUCUAAAUUAUCCACGAAUCUCAAUGACCAAGAAAAGAAUUGGUAAUUAGUGUGGAAAAGAGUCUAGAAUGCCAGGAAUCCAAAAGAAGGAUUCUUCUUUUCUGACUUAUUCAUUCAAUUCAUUUCAAAUAAGACGUAUCUUGUUCAAGCCAAUAAAUAGAGCUGGGGUUAUAGUUAAAACAGCCGGUAGAAAACCGAAAUAACUAGUUAUAGUAAGCAUGAAGGGGUUAAAUUCCUUAAUUUUUUACUACACUACAUAUGUUGGUAAUGUGGCAGAACCAACCUGAAUUACACCGGCUCAAGUACGCAAGUCCUCUCACAAGGGCUCUAACGUACUUCAAACGGUGUAACCCCUUGGCCUGUUGGGUAGCGUCCCGAUAAACCACCGAAUGCAGGAUCAAACAAGGUACCUCGCACGAAGGUGAGUCCAGAGAUAUAAUCACCAUCAUAUUUUACAUCACAGGCACUUAUAUUACAAGAGUUUAUAGAGUAGCAUAAGUUUUAGACUGAUAGAAGUUAUUACAAACCAGUUUAAGAAUUCAAGUUCACAGCAGCGGAAUUCAAAGUACGAUAACUGUACACGUCGCCAGUAUGGACAUAUGCUAAGCCAUGGCAUGAUAUCACUCGUUAUGAUCGGUGUUGGCCGGGGACGGGUCCCACUCCACGGACCAACCAUCAGGCAAAGCACAGGGCCAAGGCAUGGGGAGGGUAGGGUCUUCAGAGGCAUUACCUGAAAUAAAGUCAUAUUGCAAGACUGAGUACUCUAAUACUCAGCAAGGCUUACCCGGAAAUAGGGUAUACUUAGCCCAUAACUAGACCAUGAAGGCUUUGCAAAGGUUCUAGGUUUAGCUUUUGCUAAAAAGCGAUAAAGUGUAGAUCCUUAACUUCAUAUUUUAGCUUUCAAUUUCUAGUUCCUUUAACCAUUCUAGGUAAGCACCUAUAAUUACUCAAGCAAGAUAGAGUCUUUUUAAAGCAUAUCUCAGAUUACUCAUCAUAAGAUUCCUCUUGUUACUCUAUGUGGCAAAAGAGUUAAGCAGUCUCAAUCUCCGCGAGAAACGGACGAUUCUGAAUCGAAUUUCAACCCUUGCAAGGUAAACCUAACUCACACGCUUGGAACACCAACAGGUUGUUCCAAAACAACCGUUUGCCUUCCAUUCCGGGUCGUGGAACAAUGCCACCACAAGCGACUGCAAGACCAUACGCACAUCCAAUGUGUAGGACAUACGUCUGUAGCGUGACUACAUGACCGUAUUCCCGUCUGCUCUGCAGAACGUACUCCCAUAGUCGGUGCAUGUAAACAUAAAAUAAAAGUUGAGUGGUGGGAGACGAGUCCACUUGCCGGGCCGAUUGGUUACUAGGCUUACCGCUUACCAUAUUUCACGGCAUAUGGCUAGUACUUUCAAACACUUAACUGCCACUACCACACACUGCGACCUUAACCAAAUUCAUCAACACAGAUGGGGUAUCAUUUCUUUUCAAGAUACCACACAUGACCCCGUCCGUCAUCCUUAUAGUGAUUGCAGUAUUGUAAGCAACCAAUUCCAAUAUCGCACGAGUGACAGGAAAUCACUCGACUUCUACCGGUCCUAUUAGCAUAGCACUAGUCGAAUUCAGGUUCUGAUAUUCAGUACGUUGGUUUCUAGGAAUAUGCAUCUAGGGUUUCCACACAACUCCUCAGAACUUAAUGCACAAGUAUAUAUAUAAAGGUAAAUUGCAGUGUAAAUAAAAUAGUGGGUUUAUGUCCGGGGCUUGCCUUCACUGGCGGGCUGGGGUCAGAGACGUUAACAAUUUCUUCUGAACUCGGGUUCGGGGCUUCAGUGAAUUCUCCGACGAUGUUCCCGGCGUCUUCAGAGACUUCUAUUUCGGGUUCCGGGAGAAUCUGAUAGUCUCCGUCGGCGAGAAGUGUCGAGUCUACAUGUGAUGAAAAUGAUGCAGUUUAGAAAAUGCAUAGAUUUUUAUUCUAAUUUCACAAUAAAGUUGCAAUCCAACGAACCUAACAUUACAAACUAACAAACAACACAGUUACCCUUUACUGGGCAGUCAUUUAUCGGGCAUUAAUUAAACCACUUAGUUAUAUUAAGCAACAUGGGUGGUAACCCUAAACAUUUGUCUAACUACAUGAAGUAGCAUAUUUGAUUAUCUUAGAUAAUUAAAUUAAUUACAUUGAACACCUUUAUUUAUUUGACUAUCUAAUUAUCUUUAAUAAUCCUAGGUUAUUAUUUAAUUAUGAGCUUACCUUGAUUAAUUAGGAAUGUAGCACUAUUAUAUCCAGUUCUAUUUAUUCUAGUUGCUCUACAUCUGAUUAUGGGUUGAAAGCUUAUGAACAUGAUACACUACUUAAGAAUAACACUUCACAAUAUUUUCAUAAUUUUUCAAGAACUAGAGCUAUUGUUCAUGAAUUUUUCUUUGAAUCUAAACUUAAAUUCACUACUGGAAUUACACUUGGAUUCUGACUCUCAAAGUUUUAUAUUGGAUUAAGCAUACUAAAGCAAAGCUAAGCUAAAAUUUUCAGCUUUAAACAUGAAGGAAUGCAUCUAGAAUUAAAUUAUAAAAUUUCUAUCAACAUACAACAAAUGUACUCGAAUUUCUAAGUAAAUGAGCAGUAAGGAACUUGAGAUUUUUACACAGAGCUAUACAUGGGACUUACAACCUAAGUUCCAAAAUUUAGCUAUAACACAUGCAUAUAACAUGAGAUACAAAUAAAACACUCAUUUUCUAGUAUUUAAUCUACAUCAGAAAAUACACACAUUUAGCUCAAACUCACUAUAUAAAAGUUGUCGAAUAUAACUUAAGGAUUCAAGAAAAACCGGUUUGGCAUUUUUUCUGAAUUUUCUACAUUUUCUACAUGUUUUUGAAGUUCACAGCUUUUGAAUUGGGGGGGUGCAUAAAUCUUGCAGAAAGACCCUUAGAACUUUUGAAAUCCUCCCACAUAUGCCCCUGGCUCAUCGGGGAAGAAGAGCAGGGGAAUUGCUGGCCAAAUUCCGGCGAGGGGGGUGGCGGGGGGUGGAGAAGGACUGGUCUACGGGCACUAGGAGCUCACGGCGCAUCCAUGGGUGGGCUUGGGAGGAAGAGGGGAUGGCCGAAGGUGUGGUUCCCACGGUGGCCGAGGUGGUGGCGGAGGGGAGCUCGUCGGCGAGGGGGUUCCCAGCGAGGAGGAUGGUCAAGCUCGGGCUUGACAGCUGCAGCAGGACAAGGGGAAGCUUUUGGGGUGGUCGAUUUGGACGGAGGAGGGGUGGAGGUACGGGCUCGACGGCGAUAGGAGCUUACCGGCGAGGAGGGGAUCGACGGCGAGGUAGUUUCGGUGGAGGUCUGGCCACGGGGGGUGGCUUGGGAGAGUCAGUGAGGUGAGGGGAAGCUUCCCAGGGGUUGUAGUGGUGCGGGGUGUACAGGGAUGGGCUGCCCACGGCGAGCAGGAGGGCGCCGGAGUUGAAGAAGGAGGCGGCGGCGGUGUUCGGGUUCCUGUGUGUGCACGACAAAGGGAAAACGAGCGGAAUGGAAUGGGCUUGAACCAGAGGAGCUCACGAUAGCUAAAAUUGGGUGAGGGAAGAGGGGGAAAUGCCGGCAUUUGCCACGGUGGCGGCGAGCUGUCGCUCGGCGGGAGCUCGGGCAGGAGAGGGGAGGGGCGUGGCAAGCGCGCAGGAGGCCAGAAGAGGGGAGCUAGAGCGGCGCUCGGGCUGGGGAUCGACGCGUGGAGGUGGAGAACGGCAGGAGGUGGCGAGGGACGGCCGGAAACGGCAGGCGACAGUGCUGCAGAGGAACAAAGGAGCAGAGGAUGUGGAAGAAGAGGGGAGGAGGUCCGAGGGACCUCGUUGGAAAUUGAAAAAAACCUCAGGGACUUCACUGUAAAUAGAAUUUUCCCACAGAUCGAAAGACCUAAUGAGGAAAUGGUCAAAAUAGAAGUUGUAGAACUUUUCAAAUCCUACAACUUUGAUUUAGGGCUCAAGUUCAGAAACCUAAAGUAUACUGCUUUAUUUUACAAUUUUGCACUCAACUCAAAUUUAAUAAAGUUUUUGUCCUUAGUAAUGUAAAUUUUAUGUAAUUUUGGGCUUAUCUGCAAGCAUUUAUGACUGGUCAUGAUUACUUUUAUUUUUACAUUUUACCCUUAGUAACUUUGAAAGUUACCUUUACAAUUCAACUACUUACAUAAAAGAGACUUGUAUUUUUGUGAAAUUACAUAAAUACCCUUAUUUUCAUAACUUCACUCAAAUUUCACACAAUUCAAACCAUACACAUCAUUUUUCCUAUUGGCUUGCUAUAUUUAGCACCUAGGGUGUCAUAGGUAAAGCACUUACCUAAGUUAUGGAAAAUUCAUAAUUCAUCGGUUAUUUUAGAUAAUACUAAAAAACAAGAUAGAGUGAGAUACAAAAGUGUAAAAGAAAAUCGAUUCAUCAGACGGGACAUGAGUCCCUAAUGCCGAAUCAAGAGAUUUGUUGUGGAAUUUGUCAGUUAAGUAAAGUAAUAAUAUUAAGAACUAGAUCAUCUAACCCACUGAAAAAUAUUGAAAAAUGAAAUUGAAUUUUCAGGGGAAUUUUGGAAUAAAAGAUUAAUAAAGAAUUUAAUUUGAAAAAAGUUCUUUCUAUUUCGGAUUAUUUCUUUUUCAAUAGGAUGGAUUUCAUCCUCUUUUGGAGCAAACAGUUAAAUAUUCCCCUAUUCCUUC
This 4898-nucleotide long non-coding RNA is filed under the name Panicum hallii. RNAcentral describes it as "long non-coding RNA (PHAL_LNC000040)". Lineage: Eukaryota; Viridiplantae; Streptophyta; Magnoliopsida; Poales; Poaceae. The record is from RNAcentral.